CAUAUACCUCUUCGUGUAGAAAGUCUUUGAAUGUUUUACCAUCAUCGAGUCGCGACUUCUAGGAGACGACCUCAAAUCGAUUCCCCUAGUAACUGCGAGUGAACCGGGAAAAGCUCAAAUUUUGAAUCUGGCGGUCUUCAGGCCGUCCGAGUUGUAAUCUAGAGAAGCGUCUUCCGCGCUGGACCGUGUAUAAGUUUCCUGGAAUGGAACGUCGUAGAGGGUGAGAAUCCCGUCUUUGACACGGACUGCCAGGGCUAUGUGAUGCGCUCUCGACGAGUCGAGUUGUUUGGGAAUGCAGCUCAAAUAGGGUGGUAAAUUCCAUCUAAAGCUAAAUACAGGCGAGAGACCGAUAGCGAACAAGUACCGUGAGGGAAAGAUGAAAAGAACUUUGGAAAGAGAGUUAAACAGUACGUGAAAUUGCUGAAAGGGAAACGCUUGAUGUCAGUCGCGUCGGCCGGGGAUCAGCCUUGCUCUUUUGCUCGGUGUAUUUCCUGGCAGACGGGUCAGCAUCGGUUUUGACCGUCGGAAAAUGGCUGGAGGAAUGUGGCACUCCUCGGAGUGUGUUAUAGACUCUGGUCGAAUACGGCGAUCGGGACUGAGGAACUCAGCACGGCCUUAGGGUUCGGGGCUUCGGCUCACGUUAACGUGCUUAGGAUGCUGGCAUAAUGGCCUUAAGCGACCCGUCUUGAAACACGGACCAAGGAGUCUAACUCGCAUGCGAGUGUUUGGGCGAUUAAAACCCGAGCGCGUAAUGAAAGUGAAAGUCGAGACCUCUGUCGUGGAGGGCACCGACGCCCGGACCCGAGCUUCUGCGAAGGAUCUGCGGUAGAGCAUGCGUGUUGGGACCCGAAAGAUGGUGAACUAUGCCUGAAUAGGGUGAAGCCAGAGGAAACUCUGGUGGAGGCUCGUAGCGAUUCUGACGUGCAAAUCGAUCGUCGAAUUUGGGUAUAGGGGGCGAAAGACUAAAUCGAACCAUCUAGUAGCUG
Molecule: ribosomal RNA, 986 nt
Filed under: Suillus luteus
Lineage: Eukaryota; Fungi; Basidiomycota; Agaricomycetes; Boletales; Suillaceae
Description: eukaryotic LSU rRNA
Rfam family: Eukaryotic large subunit ribosomal RNA
Source: RNAcentral